Molecule: small RNA, 28 nt
Filed under: Bombyx mori (domestic silkworm)
Lineage: Eukaryota; Metazoa; Arthropoda; Insecta; Lepidoptera; Bombycidae
Description: piRNA piR-bmo-2076131
Source: RNAcentral
GCACAAUAAAUUCCAUGAACUCCUGGUC